UACGGAGGGUGCAAGCGUUGUUCGGAAUUACUGGGCGUAAAGAGCGUGUAGGCGGUUUGGCAAGUCAGAUGUGAAAGCCCUGGGCUCAACCCAGGAAGUGCAUUUGAAACUGCCAUACUAGAGUAUGGGAGAGGAGAGUGGAAUUCCCGGUGUAGAGGUGAAAUUCGUAGAUAUUGGGAGGAACACCCGUGGCGAAGGCGACUCUCUGGACCAAUACUGACGCUGAGACGCGAAAGCGUGGGGAGCAAACAGGGAUUAAGAUACCCCCGUA
RNAcentral lists this ribosomal RNA (271 nucleotides) under uncultured prokaryote. Its description in RNAcentral is "partial 16S ribosomal RNA". It matches the Rfam family "Bacterial small subunit ribosomal RNA", at positions 524 to 792 of the family's 1533-position model. The record is from RNAcentral.